RNAcentral lists this ribosomal RNA (483 nucleotides) under uncultured bacterium. RNAcentral's name for it is "bacterial SSU rRNA". It matches the Rfam family "Bacterial small subunit ribosomal RNA", at positions 56 to 504 of the family's 1533-position model. The record is from RNAcentral.
UGCAAGUCGAGCGAGCGGAACCAACAGAUUUACUUCGGUAAUGACGUUNNNCNAAAGCGAGCGGCGGAUGGGUGAGUAACACGUGGGGAACCUGCCCCUAAGUCUGGGAUACCAUUUGGAAACAGGUGCUAAUACCGGAUAAUAAAGCAGAUCGCAUGAUCAGCUUUUGAAAGGCGGCGUAAGCUGUCGCUAAGGGAUGGCCCCGCGGUGCAUUAGCUAGUUGGUAAGGUAACNGNUUACCAAGGCGACGAUGCAUAGCCGAGUUGAGAGACUGAUCGGCCACAUUGGGACUGAGACACGGCCCAAACUCCUACGGGAGGCAGCAGUAGGGAAUCUUCCACAAUGGACGCAAGUCUGAUGGAGCAACGCCGCGUGAGUGAAGAAGGUUUNCGGAUCGUAAAGCUCUGUUGUUGGUGAAGAAGGAUAGAGGUAGUAACUGGCCUUUAUUUGACGGUAAUCAACCAGAAAGUCACGGCUAACUAC